Eptesicus fuscus (big brown bat) is the source of this 137-nucleotide small nucleolar RNA. Lineage: Eukaryota; Metazoa; Chordata; Mammalia; Chiroptera; Vespertilionidae. The record is from RefSeq and is a predicted model, not a curated record.
UGGUCCAACCUAAUUCCGGUUGGCCGCCUGUGGCCUUCCAGGUUUCGCUUGUGGACCAGAGAAGCCUAGGAGCCUCGCCCCGAGGAGGAGUGAGCACUGCUUCCGCGAGCUCAUGCCAGGGGCACUUCUAGACACUC